GACGAAGGAUGCAAGCGUUAUCCGGACUCAUUGGGUUUAAAGGGUGCGUAGGCGGACCUGUAAGUCAGUGGUGAAAUCUCUCAGCUUAACUGAGAAACUGCCAUUGAUACUGCAAGUCUAGAGUAUAGAUGACGUUGGCGGAAUAUGACAUGUAGUGGUGAAAUACCUAGAUAUGUCAUAGAACACCGAUUGCGAAGGCAGCUAACGAAACUAUAACUGACGCUGAGGCACGAAAGUGCGGGGAUCAAACAGGAUUAGAUACCCGUUGUACGU
This 273-nucleotide ribosomal RNA is filed under the name uncultured archaeon. Its description in RNAcentral is "partial 16S ribosomal RNA". It matches the Rfam family "Bacterial small subunit ribosomal RNA", at positions 524 to 798 of the family's 1533-position model. The record is from RNAcentral.